RNAcentral lists this ribosomal RNA (301 nucleotides) under uncultured bacterium. RNAcentral describes it as "partial 16S ribosomal RNA". It matches the Rfam family "Bacterial small subunit ribosomal RNA", at positions 509 to 807 of the family's 1533-position model. The record is from RNAcentral.
CAGUAGCCGCGGUAAUACGGAGGGUGCAAGCGCUAAUCGGAAUUACUGGGCGUAAAGCGCACGCAGGCGGUUUGUUAAGUCAGAUGUGAAAUCCCCAGGCCCAACCUGGGAACUGCAUCUGAUACUGGCAAGCUUGAGUCUCGUAGAGGGGGGUAGAAUUCCAGGUGUAGCGGUGAAAUGCGUAGAGAUCUGGAGGAAUACCGGUGGCGAAGGCGGCCCCCAGGACGAAGACUGACGCUCAGGUGCGAAAGCGUGGGGAGCAAACAGGAUUAGAUACCCCUGUAGUCCCUGUCUCUUAUAC